GUACACACCGCCCGUCACACCAUGGGAGCCGGGAAUGCCCGAAGUCGGUGACCCAACCGUAAGGAGGGAGCCGCCGAAGGCAGGCCUGGUAACUGGGGUGGAAGUCGUAACAAGGUAGC
RNAcentral lists this ribosomal RNA (119 nucleotides) under uncultured bacterium. RNAcentral's name for it is "partial 16S ribosomal RNA". It matches the Rfam family "Bacterial small subunit ribosomal RNA", at positions 1383 to 1500 of the family's 1533-position model. The record is from RNAcentral.